CAGAGGGUGCAAGCGUUAAUCGGAAUUACUGGGCGUAAAGCGAGCGUAGUCGGUUAUUUAAGUCGGAUGUGAAAUCCCCGGGCUCAACCUGGGAAUUGCAUUCGAUACUGGAUAGCUAGAGUUCGGCAGAGGGAAGCGGAAUUUCUGGUGUAGCGGUGAAAUGCGUAGAUAUCAGAAGGAACAUCAGUGGCGAAAGCGGCUUCCUGGACCAGAACUGACGAUCAGGCUCGAAAGCGUGGGGAGCAAACAGGAUUAGAUACCCUGGUAGUCCACGCCAUAAACGAUGACAACUAGACGUUGGGGACAUAUGGUCCACAGUGUCGCAGCUAACGCGUUAAGUUGUCCGCCUGGGGAGUACGGCCGCAAGGUUG
This 371-nucleotide ribosomal RNA is filed under the name uncultured organism. Its description in RNAcentral is "bacterial SSU rRNA". It matches the Rfam family "Bacterial small subunit ribosomal RNA", at positions 526 to 896 of the family's 1533-position model. The record is from RNAcentral.